This 21-nucleotide unclassified non-coding RNA is filed under the name Dictyostelium discoideum. The record is from RNAcentral. Lineage: Eukaryota; Evosea; Eumycetozoa; Dictyosteliales; Dictyosteliaceae.
UCCACGUUUUAGUAGAUCCGC